This 73-nucleotide microRNA precursor is filed under the name Sorex araneus (European shrew). RNAcentral describes it as "miRNA (ENSSARG00000018281.1)". The record is from RNAcentral. Lineage: Eukaryota; Metazoa; Chordata; Mammalia; Eulipotyphla; Soricidae.
GACGGGAGGGGGCGGGAGGGGCCGGGACGGGGAGGGCGAGGGAAGAGGCGCGGGGCCGAGGGCCUGCCGAGAC